ACGCUGGCGGCAGGCUUAACACAUGCAAGUCGAACGGUAACAUAAAGAAGCUUGCUUCUUUGAUGACGAGUGGCGGACGGGUGAGUAAUGCUUGGGAAUCUAGCUUAUGGAGGGGGAUAACUACGGGAAACUGUAGCUAAUACCGCGUAAUAUCGAAAGAUUAAAGUGUGGGACCUUCGGGCCACAUGCCAUAGGAUGAGCCCAAGUGGGAUUAGGUAGUUGGUGAGGUAAAGGCUCACCAAGCCGACGAUCUCUAGCUGGUCUGAGAGGAUGACCAGCCACACUGGGACUGAGACACGGCCCAGACUCCUACGGGAGGCAGCAGUGGGGAAUAUUGCGCAAUGGGGGCAACCCUGACGCAGCCAUGCCGCGUGAAUGAAGAAGGCCUUCGGGUUGUAAAGUUCUUUCGGUAGUGAGGAAGGCAUUUAGUUUAAUAGACUAGGUGAUUGACGUUAACUACAGAAGAAGCACC
RNAcentral lists this ribosomal RNA (472 nucleotides) under Parahaemophilus parainfluenzae. RNAcentral's name for it is "Haemophilus parainfluenzae bacterial SSU rRNA". It matches the Rfam family "Bacterial small subunit ribosomal RNA", at positions 33 to 494 of the family's 1533-position model. Lineage: Bacteria; Pseudomonadati; Pseudomonadota; Gammaproteobacteria; Pasteurellales; Pasteurellaceae. The record is from RNAcentral.